GAUGAAGAACGCAGCGAAAUGGGAUAAGUAAUGUGAAUUGCAGAAUUCAGUGAAUCAUCGAAUCUUUGAACGCACAUUGCGCCCGCCAGUAUUCUGGCGGGCAUGCCUGUUCGAGCGUCAUUUCAACCAUCAAGCCCCGGGCUUGUGUUGGGGACCUGCGGCUGCCGCAGGCCCUGAAAAGCAGUGGCGGGCUCGCUGUCACACCGAGCGUAGUAGCAUACAUCUCGCUCUGGGCGUGCUGCGGGUUCCGGCCGUUAAACCACCUUUUAACCCAAGGUUGACCUCGGAUCAGGCAGGAAGACCCGCUGAACUUAAGCAUAUCAAUAAGCGGAGGA
Molecule: unclassified non-coding RNA, 335 nt
Filed under: soil metagenome
Description: partial contains 5.8S ribosomal RNA, internal transcribed spacer 2, and large subunit ribosomal RNA
Rfam family: 5.8S ribosomal RNA (bases 1-120)
Source: RNAcentral